UACGUAGGGGGCUAGCGUUGUCCGGAAUCAUUGGGCGUAAAGCGCGCGUAGGCGGCCAGAUAAGUCCGGUGUGAAAGUCACAGGCUCAACCUGUGAAUGCCGCUGGAAACUGUCUGGCUAGAGUCCGGAAGGGGCGAGUGGAAUUCCUGGUGUAGCGGUGAAAUGCGCAGAUAUCAGGAAGAACACCCGUGGCUAAGGCGGCUCUCUAGUACGGUACUGACGCUGAGACGCGAAAGCGUGGGGAGCGAACAGG
Molecule: ribosomal RNA, 253 nt
Filed under: uncultured bacterium
Lineage: Bacteria
Description: partial 16S ribosomal RNA
Rfam family: Bacterial small subunit ribosomal RNA
Source: RNAcentral